Molecule: ribosomal RNA, 601 nt
Filed under: Blastocystis hominis
Lineage: Eukaryota; Bigyra; Opalinata; Blastocystidae
Description: SSU rRNA
Rfam family: Eukaryotic small subunit ribosomal RNA
Source: RNAcentral
AGUGAUUAUCUGGUUGAUCCUGCCAGUAGUCAUACGCUCGUCUCAAAGAUUAAGCCAUGCAUGUGUAAGUAUAAAUAAUUUUACUUUGAAACUGCGAAUGGCUCAUUAUAUCAGUUAUAGUUUAUUAGAAAUACUUUACUACUUGGAUAACCGUAGUAAUUCUAGGGCUAAUACAUGACUAAAUCCUCAACUUCGGAAGAGGUGUGUUUAUUAGUAUGAAAACCAUAUAUCUUCGGAUGUAAUAGUGAGUAAUAAUAACCUUUCGUAUCGUAUGUCGUAAGAUAACGAUAGUUCUUUCAAGUUUCUGCCCUAUCAGCUUUCGAUGGUAGUAUAUGGGACUACCAUGGCAGUAACGGGUAACGAAGAAUUUGGGUUCGAUUUCGGAGAGGGAGCCUGAGAGAUGGCUACCACAUCCAAGGAAGGCAGCAGGCGCGUAAAUUACCCAAUCCUGACAUAGGGAGGUAGUGACAAUAAAUCACAAUGCGGAACUAUUUAGUUUUGCAAUUGGAUUGAGAACAAUGUACAAAUGUUAUCGAUAAACAAUUGGAGGGCAAGUCUGGUGCCAGCAGCCGCGGUAAUUCCAGCUCCAAAGCAUUUUUAC